CGCAAAAGGUAUAAAUACGGAUGCGUUCCACCGCUUCGGUCUUUUAUCCGGAAGCUUGAGCCGUCUCGUGUUUCGUGUUGAAUUCUUUUAGGAUUCCAAACAACUUGUCCAGGGAGAGAAGAGCCACACUUCUGGGCAUCAGCUCCUUUAUUUAGCAAGAGUUGGUAAAGAAUUUUCCUUUUAAAAACACAUUUAAAAAAUUUUUGGGAUUCACAAGGUUUGGGGUUUUUUAGAACAAUGUAUUUCUGAUGUAAAAUGUUAAAACAGUUCUAAAAAUUCAUGUAUUGUGAAUUGAAAUAAAGGUGACU
Molecule: long non-coding RNA, 308 nt
Organism: Lepus europaeus (European hare)
Lineage: Eukaryota; Metazoa; Chordata; Mammalia; Lagomorpha; Leporidae
Exons: 3
Source: RefSeq, a predicted model, not a curated record